This 445-nucleotide ribosomal RNA is filed under the name uncultured bacterium. Its description in RNAcentral is "partial 16S ribosomal RNA". It matches the Rfam family "Bacterial small subunit ribosomal RNA", at positions 354 to 796 of the family's 1533-position model. The record is from RNAcentral.
GUAAGGAAUAUUGGUCAAUGGACGAAAGUCUGAACCAGCCAUGCCGCGUGGAGGAUGAAGGUCCUCUGGAUUGUAAACUUCUUUUAUCUGGGACGAAAAAAGGUCUUUCUAGAUCGUCUGACGGUACCAGAUGAAUAAGCACCGGCUAACUCCGUGCCAGCAGCCGCGGUAAUACGGAGGGUGCAAGCGUUAUCCGGAUUCACUAGGUUUAAAGGGUGCGUAGGUGGGUUGGUAAGUCAGUGGUGAAAUCUUCGAGCUUAACUCGGAAACUGCCAUUGAUACUAUCAGUCUUGAAUAUUGUGGAGGUUAGCGGAAUAUGUCAUGUAGCGGUGAAAUGCUUAGAUAUGACAUAGAACACCAAUUGCGAAGGCAGCUGGCUACACAUAUAUUGACACUGAGGCACGAAAGCGUGGGGAUCAAACAGGAUUAGAAACCCUUGUAGUCC